GUAAGUAGUAGUUUGAGUACCGUGUCGACGACGACGACGCUGGGCGGCGUGCUUUAACACAAUGCAAGUCGAACGGAGCGCCUAUGAAGGAGAUUUCGGUCAACGGAAUAGGUUUAGCUUAGUGGCGGACGGGUGAGUAACGCGUGAGGAACCUGCCUUUCAGAGGGGGACAACAGUUGGAAACGACUUGCUAAUACCGCAUAACACAUAGGUGUCGCAUGGCAUUUUAUGUCAAAGAUUUAUCGCUGAAAGAUGGCCUCGCGUCUGAUUAGCUAGUUGGUGAGGUAACGGCUCACCAAGGCGACGAUCAGUAGCCGGACUGAGAGGUUGGCCGGCCACGAUUGGGACUGAGAUACGGCCCAGACUCCUACGGGAGGCAGCAAGUGGGGAAUAUUGGGCAAUGGGCGCAAGCCUGACCCAGCAACGCCGCGUGAAGGAAGAAGGCUUUCGGGUUGUAAACUUCUUUUGGCAGGGAAGAGUAGAAGACGGUACCUGUCGAAUAAGCCACGGCUAACUACGUG
Molecule: ribosomal RNA, 521 nt
Filed under: uncultured Oscillibacter sp.
Lineage: Bacteria; Bacillati; Bacillota; Clostridia; Eubacteriales; Oscillospiraceae
Description: bacterial SSU rRNA
Rfam family: Bacterial small subunit ribosomal RNA
Source: RNAcentral